AGUUUUCCGAAUCCGUGCUGAGAUUUCAUCAGACACCAGCCCAUUAGGGCUGAUCAGACUUCCAAGAUCAGUGAAGUU
Schistosoma mattheei is the source of this 78-nucleotide non-coding RNA. NCBI's taxonomy places the organism in Eukaryota, Metazoa, Platyhelminthes, Trematoda, Strigeidida, Schistosomatidae. The record is from Rfam.